AGAGUUUGAUCAUGGCUCAGAACGAACGCUGGCGGCAGGCUUAACACAUGCAAGUCGAACGCAUCCUUCGGGGUGAGUGGCAGACGGGUGAGUAACGCGUGGGAACGUGCCCUUCAGUUCGGGAUAACCCAGGGAAACUUGGGCUAAUACCGGAUACGUGCGAGAGCAGAAAGAUUUAUCGCUGAAGGAUCGGCCCGCGUCUGAUUAGCUAGUUGGUGGGGUAAUGGCCCACCAAGGCGACGAUCAGUAGCUGGUCUGAGAGGAUGAUCAGCCACAUUGGGACUGAGACACGGCCCAAACUCCUACGGGAGGCAGCAGUGGGGAAUAUUUGACAAUGGGCGCAAGCCUGAUCCAGCCAUGCCGCGUGAGUGAUGAAGGCCCUAGGGUUGUAAAGCUCUUUUGUGCGGGAAGAUAAUGACGGUACCGCAAGAAUAAGCCCCGGCUAACUUCGUGCCAGCAGCCGCGGUA
This 468-nucleotide ribosomal RNA is filed under the name uncultured Pseudomonadota bacterium. Its description in RNAcentral is "bacterial SSU rRNA". It matches the Rfam family "Bacterial small subunit ribosomal RNA", at positions 8 to 522 of the family's 1533-position model. Lineage: Bacteria; Pseudomonadati; Pseudomonadota. The record is from RNAcentral.